This 91-nucleotide transfer RNA is filed under the name Patescibacteria group bacterium. RNAcentral describes it as "tRNA-Ser". It matches the Rfam family "tRNA". From Rfam's summary of the family: Transfer RNA (tRNA) molecules are approximately 80 nucleotides in length. Their secondary structure includes four short double-helical elements and three loops (D, anti-codon, and T loops). The record is from RNAcentral.
GGAGGGAUGGCCGAGCGGCCCAAGGCAGCGGAUUGCUAAUCCGUGACCGUUUCAUAGCGGUCCGUGGGUUCGAAUCCCACUCCCUCCGCCA